RNAcentral lists this transfer RNA (76 nucleotides) under Nitrosarchaeum sp. Its description in RNAcentral is "tRNA-His". It matches the Rfam family "tRNA". Rfam says of the family: Transfer RNA (tRNA) molecules are approximately 80 nucleotides in length. Their secondary structure includes four short double-helical elements and three loops (D, anti-codon, and T loops). Lineage: Archaea; Thermoproteati; Nitrososphaerota; Nitrososphaeria; Nitrosopumilales; Nitrosopumilaceae. The record is from RNAcentral.
GGUGACGGUAACUCAAUUGGUCAGAGUCCCAGAUUGUGAUUCUGGUUGUUGCGGGUUCGAGUCCCGUCCGCCACCC